Non-coding RNA from Lupinus albus (white lupine), 163 nucleotides. Lineage: Eukaryota; Viridiplantae; Streptophyta; Magnoliopsida; Fabales; Fabaceae. The record is from the annotation of a GenBank genome assembly.
AUACGUUAGUGGUCUAGUGGUAGAAUAGUACCCUGCCAUGGUACAGACCCGGGUUCGAUUCCCGGCUGGUUCAGUAAUAUAGCUGUGAUGAUAUUUGUUCUAUAUGUGAUGACUGGGGUCUAUCACCAAUGUCUUCUACAUGAAUAAUAGUGCACCUGAUCUC